RNAcentral lists this ribosomal RNA (507 nucleotides) under uncultured bacterium. Its description in RNAcentral is "partial 16S ribosomal RNA". It matches the Rfam family "Bacterial small subunit ribosomal RNA", at positions 29 to 523 of the family's 1533-position model. The record is from RNAcentral.
AGUGAACGCUGGCGGUAGGCCUAACACAUGCAAGUCGAACGGCUGCACAGGAGAGCUUGCUCUCUGGGUGGCGAGUGGCGGACGGGUGAGGAAUACAUCGGAAUCUACUCUGUCGUGGGGGAUAACGUAGGGAAACUUACGCUAAUACCGCAUACGACCUACGGGUGAAAGCAGGGGAUCUUCGGACCUUGCGCGAUUGAAUGAGCCGAUGUCGGAUGAGCUAGUUGGCGGGGUAAAGGCCCACCAAGGCGACGAUCCGUAGCUGGUCUGAGAGGAUGAUCAGCCACACUGGAACUGAGGCACGGUCCAGACUCCUACGGGAGGCAGCAGUGGGGGAAUAUUGGACAAUGGGCGCAAGCCUGAUCCAGCCAUACCGCGUGGGUGAAGAAGGCCUUCGGGUUGUAAAGCCCUUUUGUUGGGAAAGAAAUCCAGCUGGCUAAUACCCGGUUGGGAUGACGGUACCCAAAGAAUAAGCACCGGCUAACUUCGUGCCAGCCGCCGCGGUAA